Long non-coding RNA from Drosophila elegans, 2158 nucleotides. RefSeq lists it as uncharacterized. Lineage: Eukaryota; Metazoa; Arthropoda; Insecta; Diptera; Drosophilidae. The record is from RefSeq and is a predicted model, not a curated record. The transcript is spliced from 2 exons.
CAAGGGUGGCUUUUGUUUUUAUUAAACAAUUAAAACACAUUUCUUGUAAUAUUUUUAAAAGCUUUGUAAACGACCUUAUAUUUUAGGCGUCUUCAUAACUAAAAAUUGUCAAUGUGCUAUAAAUAAAUAAAAAAUUAUAAAAAAUAUCCAAUAGAUACUUUCACAUUUAACUAACUUUUAGCUCUUGUGAAAUUUUAAUCCGUUAAUCCUUAAUUCGUUUAAUUUUCCCAAAAUUAAAUGAGAGGUUAUUUUAUCUCUAUGUAGCGAAAAAAAAGCAUUUACAAAGGCCUGGAAAAGUAAGCUCGGUCUGCCGUUCAUGUGUCCGUCAUCGGUUUGAUUCGCAUCGAAUCGCAUUGAAUCGCAUGUGGCAAGGUGUAAUUUACCCUUCAAUCAAUGCGCAGCAAAUCAGUUGGCAAUGUGCUGUGCGCAGGCGCACCUCGAUGGAUCCCCUCGGCUCGUGCCGCGCCCCUUCUCUUUUCGUAUCAGUUGGCAGCACAUUUGGGUUAACAAUUGGUUAACUGUAUACCGGCCAUAUCGGGGCUUGUGGCUAUAUUUAUAUAUACAAGUUUGUGUGUGCCGAAUGACUAACUGGGCGCAAGGUGCUUUUUAUACUCUGUUUAAAAAGCAUUAAAAACUAGUGUGGAAGUGGGCAAUGCAAGAGGAAAGCCAACAACCAAUGAUACUAUUUGGUAUUUAUGUAUGUGUACAACAUAAGUGAGUAAUCGAAUUUUUAUGAAGUAGUUUCUGCCAUAUUAAAUCGAUAAACAUUUAAAUAAAUUUUAUGGUAGUUUAUUCCAAAGCUGUGCAACAUGAAAUAUGUUACCAAAUAAGCUAUACUAAAUUAAAUGCUUAUAUUUUAAAACAUUAAGAUUAAACCUUAUAAUAAGUCAACUCACUUCCUACAACAGUAUAGUUUAUAAAACUCCUACUGACUCCAAACAAACUUAAUUUUUUUUAAUUAAUAACUUAAUUUCAGGCUGUUGCCACAUCAAAACGAAUGAUUAAUUGAUUUACUUUUUUGGGAUUAAUUGAAAAUAAAUUAAUUUUUUAAUUGUUAAAAACAUUUACUUAUAUUUCCUCAUUCCCUCACUUUUAGACCACAUUUUUUACGUUAACUGUUUGGCUUGUUUUAACGCAAAGAGUUAACCAAAACACAGAAAAGGAGAAAAAAGCAGACAAUGAGAUGUUGAUCAUGUUGUAGUUGGCAGGUUAACAAGCAACCCGAGCAGCCUUAGAUAAAUCGAGAGACAAGUCAACAAACCCGGCCGUCGAGUCAACAACUUGGUUGCGCUUCAAGGCAGCCAAGGAAAACGUUUCCUUUUGGCCAAUAGCGAUGACGGCCAAACAAUGCGUUCAGUUUGGACAAACAUUUGCAGCAAACCAUUUUUAUUCCCAUUCCAACUUCCCACGUAGCGCGGCAGGUAGCCGCAAAAACUUGUAGAACGUGCUGGUAAAAAUGGUAAAAAUGGUAAAAAUAGCAAUGCCAGUUGCAUCAACAAAUUUUCAAGUUUAAAUCUAAAUGUGGCAGUAAAUCGUGCCCGGCCGGCAACGGAGAUGAAGACACUGCCAAGUCCAAGCUUCAAGAAAGCCCGGCUCUUAGAAAUUAGAAGCGUGCUGAGGGCAGACUGUCUGGGUUUGGUAAUCAUCGCUGUAAUCAGUUUUCUGAAUGGGGUCACUUUGGUCGAAUAAUGAACCGAAUUUCCACAAAAUGUUUGUCACACUUUUUGACAUUUGCACGACUUGCUUGUCUGAAGAAAAGAGUUCCCAAAAUAAACGAAACGGGAAUGAGAAUUAAGACAGCGACUGCCAUUCACUGGGCACGCAAGCUCAGCGAGCAAGCGCCAAAUAAAAUGCAGUUCGUCUUGCUCUGCUGUGCAAUGCGGCGUAUGCGCAAUGUCUGUUGACAAGGGAGCUUGAUUUUAAUUUACGUUGCUUUGGUGAAAUCGGGUCGUUAAUUUAAAACUGUCAAAGUCCUAAAAUAAUGUAGUUAUUAAUCCGAAAAUACUUGCCAUUGCAGUUUUUCAGCUUAGUCAGUUUAUAAAAAUAAGUUAAAAUUGUAUAUCUAUAAAAAUCAUCAAAUCAUGAGAUAAUAAUUUUGUAAUUUAAAUAUAUGUACGUAUUUUAAAGUUUUAAAUAAAUAUAUAUAAAUUUUAAUAUA